Sus scrofa (pig) is the source of this 910-nucleotide non-coding RNA. Lineage: Eukaryota; Metazoa; Chordata; Mammalia; Artiodactyla; Suidae. The record is from RefSeq and is a predicted model, not a curated record.
GUGUCACAGGCUCAGUCUCCAUCCAGAUGUCAAUUUAUGGAAAAAAACAUUCCAGAAAAAUGCACAGCUUCCAGGCCAGGGAGAGGCCAGCCUCCUGCUUCUUGAAGGAGUCUCGGCGCUCAGACAGAUGCAGCCGCCGCAUGACCACCAGCUCAGAGUCCGGCCCGCGGCUGCGGCGCCCCAGCUCCCCGUCCAGCCGCUCACCUGUACCCAGCUUGUCAGCUGACUGGCCUCGGCGCAACCUUGGGGACCGUGCAGUGGCUUAGAUCUGGUGAACUCCUACUCAUCUAUCAAAAUCCUAGCUCCUAAUCAUUUACUUCUCACCUGAUGACCCAUCAAAUCAUUGAACCAAAGGUAUGCAUCCUCUGUCCGUCCAUCCACGCAAUAAGCCAUCUACCUACUAGUUCUAGAAGUUAUCCAACAAGGGCCCUGCCUCUUUACUCGUGUCCAUUCCCUACCCCUAGGCCUCAGCCCCAGAGGACGCCUGGUCUGAGGAAGGCAAAGAUAGCAGAUACACCCAGCCUGUUGGCCAGAGGGACAGACAGCAUUUGGGGUCCACAGAAGGCAGGGAGGGCUUCCUGGAAGAGUAGAUCUUGGCUCUCCUCCAGGAGGCCUUUGCCGCCUCUCUUCUGGAUUGCCCCAGCCAUCCUCUCUCUAGCCUGAUGCUAACCCAGUGGGGCUAGGGGUGUCUGUCUCUGGCUGCCGCUGACAGACUAGGGAUCCUCAGGGUUGGGCAAAGCCACCAUCCUUUCCUGCUCCAGAAUGAGCUUCCAUGCCCUCUCUGUCUCACACAUCCUCCAUGGCUCCCUAUUGCUGCCCCCCAAUUUAAGACCAGCUCUUUGGCUUGGUCCACCCCCUCCCUACCUGCUCUCCACCAGCUUUCACAUCUCUUCUCAUCUUUUGCUCAUGA